Long non-coding RNA from Notothenia coriiceps (black rockcod), 152 nucleotides. RefSeq lists it as uncharacterized. The record is from RefSeq and is a predicted model, not a curated record. NCBI's taxonomy places the organism in Eukaryota, Metazoa, Chordata, Actinopteri, Perciformes, Nototheniidae. The transcript has 3 exons.
AAGUGCGACCGGACUCAGAUGAAAAAUAUAAUUCGUGGUGGCCCAACGGCGGUACUACACUUCUGUUUGGUUGCCCAGGCCCGGAAAGCACCUUUUUGUCAUUGACUUAGGCAUGGGGAAAGAGUGGUGUGUAAACCAUUGAGAUUAAAUAA